RNAcentral lists this ribosomal RNA (468 nucleotides) under uncultured bacterium. Its description in RNAcentral is "partial 16S ribosomal RNA". It matches the Rfam family "Bacterial small subunit ribosomal RNA", at positions 28 to 507 of the family's 1533-position model. The record is from RNAcentral.
GACGAACGCUGGCGGCGUGCCUAACACAUGCAAGUCGAACGGAAAGGCCCUGAUUUUGUGGGGUGCUCGAGUGGCGAACGGGUGAGUAACACGUGAGUAACCUGCCCUUGACUUUGGGAUAACUUCAGGAAACUGGGGCUAAUACCGGAUAGGAGCCCCUGCUGCAUGGAGGGGGUUGGAAAGUUUCGGCGGGCGGGGAUGGACUCGCGGCUUAUCAGCUUGUUGGUGGGGUAGUGGCUUACCAAGGCUUUGACGGGUAGCCGGCCUGGGAGGGUGACCGGCCACAUUGGGACUAAGGUACGGCCCAGACUCCAACGGGGGGCAGCAGUGGGGAAUAUUGCACAAUGGGCGGAAGCCUGAUGCAGCAACGCCGCGUGCGGGAUGACGGCCUUCGGGUUGUAAACCGCUUUCGCCUGUGACGAAGCGUGAGUGACGGUAAUGGGUAAAGAAGCACCGGCUAACUACGUG